UAUUAAAGGUCCAACCUGCCCAGUGAACAAGUUUUUAACGGCCGCGGUAUCCUAACCGUGCAAAGGUAGCAUAAUAACUUGUCCCCUAAUUAGGGACUUGUAUGAACGGUUAAAUGAGGGCUUAACUGUCUCCUGUAGCCAAUCAAUGAAAUUGAUCUAACAGUACAAACGCUGUUAUAUGAAUAUAAGACGAGAAGACCCUGUGGAGCUUUAAAUUUUAAUAUUAACCAUAAUGACCGUAACCUACAUUAACAUAAUAUAAAUUUUAAGUUGGGGCAACUGUGGAGUAAAAAAAAACCUCCAUGAAAUACGACUAACCCUCGUCAUGCAAGGCUAACAAGCCAAACAAAAUAAACGACCCAGUCAAACUGAACAACGGACCAAGUUACCCCAGGGAUAACAGCGCCAUCCCCUUAAAGAGUCCACAUUGCUAAGGGGGUUUACGACCUCGAUGUUGGAUCAGGACUCCCAAGUGGUGCAACAGCUACUAAAGGUUCGUUUGUUCAACGAG
RNAcentral lists this ribosomal RNA (511 nucleotides) under Phelsuma berghofi. RNAcentral describes it as "partial 16S ribosomal RNA". It matches the Rfam family "Bacterial large subunit ribosomal RNA", at positions 1844 to 2588 of the family's 2925-position model. Lineage: Eukaryota; Metazoa; Chordata; Lepidosauria; Squamata; Gekkonidae. The record is from RNAcentral.